GAUGAACGCUGGCGGCGUGCCUAAUACAUGCAAGUCGAGCGAACAGAUGAGGAGCUUGCUCCUCUGACGUUAGCGGCGGACGGGUGAGUAACACGUGGAUAACCUACCUAUAAGACUGGGAUAACUUCGGGAAACCGGAGCUAAUACCGGAUAAUAUAUUGAACCGCAUGGUUCAAUAGUGAAAGACGGUUUUGCUGUCACUUAUAGAUGGAUCCGCGCCGCAUUAGCUAGUUGGUAAGGUAACGGCUUACCAAGGCAACGAUGCGUAGCCGACCUGAGGGGGUGAUCGGCCACACUGGAACUGAGACACGGUCCAGACUCCUACGGGAGGCAGCAGUAGGGAAUCUUCCGCAAUGGGCGAAAGCUUGACGGAGCAACGCCGCGUGAGUGAUGAAGGUCUUCGGAUCGUAAAACUCUGUUAUUAGGGAAGAACAAAUGUGUAAGUAACUAUGCACGUCUUGACGGUACCUGAUCAGAAAGCCACGGCUAACUACGUG
This 497-nucleotide ribosomal RNA is filed under the name uncultured bacterium. Its description in RNAcentral is "partial 16S ribosomal RNA". It matches the Rfam family "Bacterial small subunit ribosomal RNA", at positions 28 to 507 of the family's 1533-position model. The record is from RNAcentral.